UGCAGCAACGCCGCGUGAGGGAUGACGGCCUUCGGGUUGUAAACCUCUUUUAGCAGGGAAGAAGCGUGAGUGACGGUACCUGCAGAAAAAGCGCCGGCUAACUACGUGCCAGCAGCCGCGGUAAUACGUAGGGCGCAAGCGUUAUCCGGAAUUAUUGGGCGUAAAGAGCUCGUAGGCGGUUUGUCGCGUCUGCUGUGAAAUCCCGAGGCUCAACCUCGGGUCUGCAGUGGGUACGGGCAGACUAGAGUGCGGUAGGGGAGAUUGGAAUUCCUGGUGUAGCGGUGGAAUGCGCAGAUAUCAGGAGGAACACCGAUGGCGAAGGCAGAUCUCUGGGCCGUAACUGACGCUGAGGAGCGAAAGGGUGGGGAGCAAACAGGCUUAGAUACCCUGGUAGUCCACCCCGUAAACGUUGGGAACUAGUUGUGGGGUCCUUUCCACGGAUUCCGUGACGCAGCUAACGCAUUAAGUUCCCCGCCUGGGGAGUACGGCCGCAAGGCUAAAACUCAAAGGAAUUGACGGGGACCCGCACAAGCGGCGGAGCAUGCGGAUUAAUUCGAUGCAACGCGAAGAACCUUACCAAGGCUUGACAUACACGAGAACACUCUAGAAAUAGGGGACUCUUUGGACACUC
RNAcentral lists this ribosomal RNA (631 nucleotides) under Microbacterium sp. So3Pw_1419. RNAcentral describes it as "bacterial SSU rRNA". It matches the Rfam family "Bacterial small subunit ribosomal RNA", at positions 387 to 1029 of the family's 1533-position model. The record is from RNAcentral. Lineage: Bacteria; Bacillati; Actinomycetota; Actinomycetes; Micrococcales; Microbacteriaceae.